RNAcentral lists this unclassified non-coding RNA (151 nucleotides) under uncultured Ascomycota. Its description in RNAcentral is "sequence contains ITS1". Lineage: Eukaryota; Fungi; Ascomycota. The record is from RNAcentral.
CUGAGGGGCCCCCGCGUUCGCGCGAGGGCUCCCCGAGAUAGAACCCCUACCUUUGCUUACCAUCGUUUCCUCGGCGGGUCCGCCCGCCAGCGAGGACAACCCAAACCCCUUCUUGCAGUUAGUAGUACCCGUCAGAAAACACAAUCGUUUA